This 6312-nucleotide long non-coding RNA is filed under the name Linum usitatissimum (flax). RNAcentral describes it as "long non-coding RNA (LUSI_LNC005184)". The stretch from base 1 to 71 matches the Rfam family "tRNA". The record is from RNAcentral. Lineage: Eukaryota; Viridiplantae; Streptophyta; Magnoliopsida; Malpighiales; Linaceae.
UCGUUGUAGUAUAGUGGUAAGUAUUCCCGCCUGUCACGCGGGUGACCCGGGUUCGAUCCCCGGCAACGGCGUUUUGUUUUGCUCACUGGUUCCGCUCCAGCACAGUUCAACUGAUUCUUCCUCCCUUGUCCAUUUUUUUCAGCCUCAUUAAGAAGCGCAGAUAACCUGUUCGACGAUUUGCGUGGGAGACAGCUUUCGAUACUCUCGAUUCGAUUUUCGGCGAUUUGCUUCUUAACUACUUCGUUUUGGCAAGGGAAAACUAGCUCGUUCUACACCUUCGAGCAGCAGCGACAAACAAUCAACUCUGCAUUUAUUAUUACUAAGAACCCUAACGGGGGAUGAUUGAACACAAGUAAGUUGUACUUUACGCAACCAAUCUCUGUACAAAAUCUUUCAUCUACUAAUAUCUAGCUAGCUCUCAUUGUUCUCCAAUUGCAAUCAUUUUGGGGGGGACCGGUCUCAAAUACAUCAUAUCGCAUGCCAUGUUUGGUUGGAAUCGGUCCCAAUUACAAUUGACGAUUGCAGAGAAACCAUUAGUCCUUUGAUUCAUUAUGAUAUCUUCCAGCCAUUUCUACUAACUGGCAUCUUAUGUGGUCUGUGGUAUUAUGAUCCUCAGAGGACCGCAAGUUAGGAAGGGAAAAGAGUGCCUCUUCAACCUACCCUUCCUACUACCUUCCUCAAAAUAGCAUAGGGAAACACUAUCUUCCAUUUCUUUAGGUGUAUUGUAUGUAGUAGUCAUCAUUAGUUAUGAUAAUAAUUCAAGCUAACAGAGAACUUGUUUUCAAACUCCUUAUCAUCAUGGUUUGGAAUAUAAUGACUUUGCCCUAGACCAAAGUCUUCUCCUUUUGUUUUCCCCUCUUAGAUUAUUACUGAUGUAGUUGUUGUAAUCAGGCUUCAUGACCCCAAUGUCAGAUGAUCAUUGGCUAGAUCUUCCAAGAAAGAUUCAAGUCAGUCAUCAUUCUUUGGACUUACUCUGAGAGUUUUGCUAAAUUUGCAACUCAUGGAAACUGAGUUGUUUCAGUGCAUUUGGUAGGCUUUUCUCUCACAGGCCCUCCUUUGUAUGCAAUGCCAACUCUGAUAAGACAUUCUUUAUUACAUUUUUAUACAAUUUUGACAUAGUUUCAACAAUGGUCAACCAGCAAUCUUUUACCAAGAGUAUGAGUAUAUAUCAAUAUAUGUCAUGUCCAUAAGUUUGAGUCAUUGUGGGUUACCACUUCCCACGAUUUUGUUCUUUUCAAAACAAAUGAAAUCACAUUGACUUUUCUCUUCUUAAUAAAUUAUUUUUCUUUUUGAGUGGUGACGUUGCCCUCUUGAUUUGGUUCCUCUCCCAUCACACAGAAUCCAGUUGAAAAGUCCCUUUUAUGAUCUUAACACAAUAUACAAUCCACCAGAUUUGUUCUUUUUCAUUUUUACUCUCUUGCAAUUGUGCCUCUGAAAAAAUUGCCCUUUCAUGACUAAAGAGUGGUUAUCUAAUUCUAUGCUGGGAUUCGAGGGGAAUAGUUGCAGAUUUUGUUGAAUCUACACCUGUAAAUGCUUCUUCUGGUUUCCUUUACUGCAUAUAGCUUUAGGUCUCCUCCAUAAGCUUGGUGGUUCUUGGUGUGUGUAUGAUGGUUAUUCAUGUGAUACAUUAAUGGUGACUAGCUCCAUGCCUAUCAUAAGUAUAAUAAGUUUUAGUUCUACUAUAUGUCUUGAAAUCUGAGUAUAGGUGAACAAUUUUUAUUAAGACAAAGGAAAGCAGUAUAUAUAGCUAGUUGUUUCCUUCCUAGUGACGCAUAGCAGAGAUGAACACUGCUUAAACAAUUCAUAAAGAUGAUUAGCUCCCUUUUCUAAGGUAGAUUUAGCUACUUUGUCUGAGAUAGUACUUAUCUAAGAGAAUUUUCUAUUAGAUGCUUACUGUAGAAAUUCUUAGGGUCAAAUUCUUCCCUGUGAACCUUUUCUCAUUAGGAAAGUUCUGGUGUUAAUUACAUGAAAUAAUAUUCUAAUGAUGCAAUUAAUUAGUUCAUUCAUAACUGUGUUAGCAGGCGAGUAGUUAACUUGCAAGAUAUAAGCUAAACCAGAAAGCAAAACUAAAUGAAGAGAAUAGUAGAAUGAUAAUUAAUAUUAUAUUCCUUCCUGCAGAUGAGCCUGAUACAACCUUCUAGUUCAGGAACCCAUAUCUUAAAACCACCCCAAAAGAGAUAGAUAUAAUAUGAUAAUAAACAGGGAAAAUAGAAGGCAAAUGUAGUAACCUUUGGAAGGAAGACAGCUACUACUUCUACUUGUACUAUUUAACCGAAACUGGAACAAACUACUACUGUUGACACUACGAAUUUUACACAAAAGAGGCAAAGGCGGUGUUUACUGGUCCUAGUGGGGUCAUGAUAUCACCUUCUUUCCCAUUUUGUUCUAAUUCCACCAGUUGUUGUACAUCAGUUACUGUUGGAGUUGGCAUGAUUCUGGGAGGAGCUUGAACCACCCAGGUUGAGGUCAGGAAUAGUACUGCUGUUAGGAGAAGAUUUCCCUUUUGCAUUUCCCUUGGAGAGCUUCUGUUUGAGUUCAGAGAGCAAUGCUUGAUUCUCCUGGUUGAGAAGUUGUGCUUUCUUCCGCAGCCUCUCAUUUUCUUUCAUUAUGAAGCAGUUUUGCAGGUACAGCUUUGAGUUCAGUCUCUCCAUUGCCUUUAGAAUAUUGAGACCUGCCUGAAUACACCCAAAAAGAGAGAUGAUGUUACAUUAGUUUAAUGUUAGAUAGCUCUAAAUAAAAUAUUACAUUCAGAUGGAGACAAUGUUGCAAUGCCAUGUUGUGGAAAAGCAACAUUUUUUAAUAUUAGACAGUGAUAAUGAUAACGUUUCCAGAAUAUCUGCAACAUAGAAGCUUACAGGACAGAACUAAAAGCUAAGCAAACACAUAAAAUAAGCAGAAAUGCCUUGACUUUUCAACUAUAGUAACAUGCAAAGUUAUCCAUAUGGAACAUGGAAAGAUGAAAAGAAAACAACACAAAACAAAACUGAUGGGUAAACAGUCUAUGUCCAUUUACCAGAAAAAAGUUGGCCAAGAAUUGAGAUGAUGAAACAGAGCUGCUGUGAUGAACAAGUGGCAAUGGUGAAUGUGGAGCUUGGUUUGAUAAUAUAGAGAGGAAAGUUGUAUGGGGGUCGUCUAGAAAACAAAAGGUAAUGAGAAUGUCUGCAGAUAAGGAAUAACAGGUUGUCCAAAUCUAGAAGGUCUCUUUGGGUUUCCCAAACAUGAAAGCAAAGGAUAAAAGACUAGUAAGAAUGACUCAAACGACACAGUGAAGUAGUGGUCAGUGUCUGAAGUCUGAACCAAAAACAAAGAUGGUUCCCUUCACCUUGAAUGAAUGACCGACCAUUGAUGAAAUGUCAAAGGGAUGUGGAGAGAAAGACAAGCAGCUAGACGUUGAAACCAAUGAGGACAAAGAGAUAAAACAGAACACAUUAGAAAACUAACAGAAAGAAAGCAGAACAUUCCUUCCUCAAACUGAGGUGAAAGUAACAGACAAGUCAAAGAUGAAAAAAAAAACCAGCAAUGUGAGCUGAAACUAAACCAUACGUUUAACUUUCUUUCUUUGUGUAACAAGCAAGGAGAGAAUGUAGAAGUAGAAGUAGAAGGAGAGACAAAAGCAGAGAAAGGUGGGGUCUUUAUUGUCCUUCUUUCUCUCUUUAUGUUUUCAAAAAAGAUCACCUUUUUCAAGCAAGUGAGUUAGAGAAGAAGGCUGAGAGGUAGUUCCCCUGGCUUCUUUUGCUGCUGCUGCUGCUGUUGGUAAACGAGAACAAGUAGCAGUAUUGCAGUAAGUUAGCUUCUUUGCUGCUGCUGCUGCUGCUGCUGUUGGUAAACGAGAACAAGUAGCAGUAUUGCAGUAAGUUAGCGUGGAAAGAAAAGAAGUGAAGGGACAAAGAGAACAAACGAGGGGAGUGGGUUAUUAUAUAGAGAGAGGGCCAAAAAGCUGGAAAGGAAGAAGCUUUCUGAAUUUUGAGAGGCUUUGGCCGUAUGGGUUUGGAAGAAGAAGAAGAGGGGACAUGCUUCUCUUCCCUGACACAACAAUCAUGCAUUUUCUUUUCUGUAAGCAAGGGAAGGCGGCCGGCUAAACUUAAUGCCAGCCAAAAGAAAACUGUAAAAUUCAAUGUUAAAACUUUUUAAUUCAAUAUUUUCUUCUGAAUGAUGGUGAUGAUGAAGGAAAGGGGGGUAUGAGGUCAUGUGAAUGAUGAUGGGUAUGGAAGAGGGGCAUUUUGGUCACAUUAGCUGCCAUUAUUGACAUUUAGAGGGACAAUUAUGAGGAGUUUUGGCCUCUCUGCGUAAAAAAAAUAAAAUGAUGGGGGGGUGGGCUAAAGGGGCCGUCCCCCAAAGAUUCGCAAUGAUGGUCUGGAUUGGUUCGAACGUCGAACCAUCAUCACCACACACAAUUACACACUUGCUUCAACCCCUUCCUCUUCACCAUCUUCUUAUUGUGAUUAUGAUGACUACAAUUUUGGACCCUUUGGCCUUCCCACUUUCCCCUAUUAUUUCUUGGUUUGGUAACUGUUGGCUUGUAAUUAUGAUUUCUUCUUUUUGCCGUAAUAAGUUAUAUUUUUAACUAUUUUGAAGGGUACCAAAAGGCACUGUAGCUCACUCACUACUAGAGGAGAGGUACGUCAAUAUCCUCAAUGCAUUAUUGGGUUUCUCCUCUAAAUACAACUUCAAUGUGGUUUAAUGCUGAAUGUUAUUAGUUUUGAUGUCGGAAUCUAUCAUAUUGGAACUUAGGAUUCUUAUUCCAAUGUCGGUGGUUUUACAUAAUUUGUGCACUACUUGAGUUGAGUCUAGCUACAAACACGAGUCUCGUUCUGUCACAUGCAUGCUUUCUAUACGUAGAUGGUGGCCAUACCAUAGUUAAUGCCCUUCAGCAGCAGCUUUCUAAAUCAUGAUAUGGCGUUUUGUUUUGAAGUUAUUAGUAGCAACAAUCAUAAUAACUUGGUAAUAAUAAGCCAUGGCAUCAUAAGUUAAAACAGCUAGCAUUUUGAAACAAGUGGGGAGGAGAUGCAGAUGAUGAAUUACUAAAGAGGGGGGGCCUCAACGUGAAACAUCAUGGCUUUCCCUCCUACGCCAGACUGUGCCUUGUAAUUUUUUGCACGGUGCUCUGUUUUUUUUCCUAAAAAAUCCUCAAGAGAAAAAGGGCAAAUUCGUCAUUUAAAAUUUAUAGGGUACCCCCUCGUGGAGCUCGUUCACACAAACUGGGAAGUGACGAAUUGCUAUGAAUUUGAAAAUGCAGGGAGAGGGGAUUUUUGAUGAGGUGUUGUUUGUUUAUUAACAUUAAUUAACAUUCUUUUUUGUAGAUUUUUGUUUUCUUGUAUGUAUAUGUUUCUCUGUGUGCAGGAAAAAGUAAAACCAAACAGACAUAUUAACUGCUGAGAUGAUGAUUGCUUCUGCAAACACUAUCAUAAAUACGAAAAAUAGUGGGUUGAGCUUUCCUCAUUUUAUGCCUAGCUGAGCUGCUAAUUGAGUCUCUUGAAUGGACUCGAGACAGCUAAGCUAUAUGGAGCUUGCUUUCCUUUUUCUAACUUUUCGUUGUGGUUUGAAAUGGGUUUUGUGUUAGUGAUUUAAAUAUUGAUUAAGAAACACUAAUAUAAUUAGUUUGUCACCAUCUUAGUUAAUUAAAAGCUUUUAGGGUGGGAAUGUUUGCAACAAAAGGGACAUAGGAUGGACCAUCUAAUGUGGGUUCUGCAUGCUCUUUCUUUGUCUACUUCUUAUUCUUUUUUGUAGGCACUUUCAACACUAUUUAGCUAGAUGACUAAUCAAGCUCCCUAAGUCCAAUGAGCAUGGUGAAUAAUCACAAUGCCUACAAGAGGAUGAUGUAAGAGCACUUGGUCCGGACAAGCGUGCGCUUCAGACGUCUUUUCCUGAUACAAGGUAUCGCGUGAGAGAUACCAAAAAUAGCGCACCAACUUCCUGUUGCAUGCCACUUCCGGUACGAUUCUACUAUAGGUAACUCUCGUUUGUGGAGAAUAUGUGAUACGAUAUUACCACAAAUCAUUCCACCAAUUGUUUCCUCUAAAUUUUUGUAUUCAUUUGCACACAUGAUGUGGGAUACUCAGAUUUGUCUCAUAGAUUAGGGUGAACAAUGACACCCAUAAAAGUAAAACUAGAAAGUAGUUUUGAAGGGGCGGUUGGUCCCAAGGUGACAAGGAAGUUUAAGUAAUUGAGAGUUUCCCAGUUUUGUUUCUUUCACGAGUAGUUUGUUUCUAGUUCCAGACAGGUUAGUAUUUGCAAUGAGUAUUUUGCCAUUUUUACAAUUUAUAUUUAUAUAUAUGCAUAAUGAUCAUCAAUUAUGGCUGUGCUAUUUCACCC